Non-coding RNA from Salmo salar (Atlantic salmon), 46 nucleotides. The record is from Rfam. NCBI's taxonomy places the organism in Eukaryota, Metazoa, Chordata, Actinopteri, Salmoniformes, Salmonidae.
CACAAAGCUUUACUCAAAGCUACAAAAGAAACAAUAAAAAAAGUGG